Long non-coding RNA from Symphalangus syndactylus (siamang), 2403 nucleotides. RefSeq lists it as uncharacterized. The record is from RefSeq and is a predicted model, not a curated record. Lineage: Eukaryota; Metazoa; Chordata; Mammalia; Primates; Hylobatidae.
GGAAAUUUGAUAGUUUCUAGCAGCUUCUAUUUAUCCUCCUUCUUCAUGCUCUCUCUUCAGAUAACCAAAGUUUUCAUUAAGCCUAAUUCCAAAAGGAAGAAAGAACCUCUGGCAAAAGAAGCCACACAAAGCUGUUGUUGACUUAAUUCAUUUAUUUAUUUGUUGCUUCUCCCUCGUCUGCCCACCUUUCAUGCCUAACUCAUCAUUGAGCCCUAGAAUAAUAACUUGUAGAUAGUGUGCAUUAUAUAUUCGGUGAAGAUAAUGAAAGAAUUUUAAAACACGAUUGCUGAUUAGGGUAAUUCCUAAGUUACAGGAAUAACAGUCUAAUGGUAAAAUGUUUAGCACCUUGGCAGUUUGGGAUAAAAAUCAUUUCGGCCCUGUUCAAAUAGCUCAACAGAACCGCCUGCCCACUGUAACCUUAACAAAAUCCAUCCUUUCCCAAAUAUAUAUUCCAAGUUUUAAAAAUUGAGCCUAAAAUUGUAAGGGUAUGUACACAUUGGGAAAUGAAAUUGUCAUUAACACAAAUGUGACUUCUGGUGGGUGUUCUAGAUCUAUCAGCUGAUAAUUGAUGAUGAGAAUUUUGUCUUCUAAAUAAGGAGGAUUCUUAUUCUGUCCUGGGAAGCCACUUUAAAGUGUUUUACCUGGUAUGUUUGAGGUAAUAUUUAAAGAUUUUGCCCUCUGGCUUCAAAAUUCCUCUCUUGAUAACAAUAAUUAACUUGAAUUAAGGUUUAUGCGAAAUGCAAUAAAAAUAACUCAAUAUUUUAAUUAUUGGCAAACCAAUUUUCAUUUUCUUGAAGUAGAAAUAAUGAAAAAAUAGAUUCCAACACUCCACUACUUCCCAUGAUUUUAUUAUUUUAGAUGCGAGGAUAAUGUUUUAAAAUAUUAUCCAAAUGUGUUUUCCCUCUUUGAUGGGUAGUUAACUAAAGGAGGAGGAAGAGGAAGAGGAGGAGGAGAAGAAGAAAAGAAGAAGCACCUGCUGUUCUUCUGCCAUUAAGAUUAUGCAAUAAGAUGAAGGCCUACUGUCUUGGGAGGAGGAGCCCCCCAAGUGUUCUUUCUGCCCAUCCGCCCACUCCCUCGGACUUCAGCAUGGGCUGGACCUGGACCCCUGGAUCUGACACCGGGCAACAUGGAUCACCACCUCAAUAAAUAAUUUGCACUGGAAUCCUUUCCCCAGAGUCUGCUUCUGGGGGAACUCAGACUAUCAGGGAAGAAUAUGAGUGGAAGAAUGGCCCAAGAUAGAGCCAUGUAAGACGUGCCUGCUUCCCCUUGCUUUCUGCCAUGAUUAUAAGUUUCUUCAGACCUCUCCAGCCAUGCUUCCUGUACAGCCUGUAGAACUGUGUCAGUUAAACCUCUUUUCUUCAUAAAUUACCCAGUCUUGGGUAGUUCUUUAUGGAAAUGUGAGGAUGGACUGAUACAAAGUGUCAGUGCUAAGAUCAGUGUAACUUUGGAAGCAAGGAAAAAAAAAAUAGAGCAUCUGAACAAAAUAUGAAAUACACAAUUAAUCUUGAUAAAUCAAGCCUCAAAGGAAAAUAGGAGAAUGAUCAUAAGUGGAGCUAGAAACCUAGAAGCUACAUUUCCUAGAAGACCUUGCCAUCAGGCUGCCAGGAAACAGUCCACCAAUGAGAAGCCCCCUUGCAAGAUUUGGAAGGCAGAAGAGAGGCAGAAUCCAUUGUAAUAGCAACAGGAAGUGUUUCAAGGGAAUACCUAUACACAAAGCCACAUUCAAGGUUCCUGAACUGGAAGAACUUGGACUUUACAGUUGCAAAAAGUAAGCUAUGAAGGCUUUGGACAUCAUAAACCACACGUAUGGAAGAAUGCAUGCUUCCUCAUUCAAGAUGGCAUACAACCAUGGGCUGUGAACUUCCUCCCGUGAGCCAGCAAAACUAAAGGAAAGAGGGAUUUGGGGACUCUCAGAGCUCAGCAACUAACAUUAAACUUCGGAGAACCUCUUGGAAAGCCUGACGAUGGUGGCCUUCUGGUGUGGGAGAGAGAGGAGUGAGUAACAUCUUUCUGUGACCCUUCAGUCGGCUAUGUGUAUGAGCUCUUUCCACCUGUUUUAAGGCUCUCUGAAGUUUAUCCUUUAUUUUUCUCUGAAGGUGUUGUUCUGUACUGUAACUUUAUUUGUAAGUGCAGUUUAAGUGUAGGAUAGCCAUGAGCUCCAAAAAGUUUUCUGCUUCAUUGUGAACCACAUGACUCUCCAAUGAUUUCCCAAAAAUGACAACCUCACCCUCCUCCACUCCUCACCACCCAAUUUCAAAUCUGCUCUUCUUCCUUCACGAGAUAUUGUAACAUUGCCUUUUAUGUACAAACUAUAUUUAUUUACUUUCAAAUUGUAGCCCUUCACCUAUGUAAACUUGCUAUAUUUUUCUAUCUGUGAAAUGGUUUAAGUAACUUAGCUUGGGA